This 31-nucleotide non-coding RNA is filed under the name Rattus norvegicus (Norway rat). Lineage: Eukaryota; Metazoa; Chordata; Mammalia; Rodentia; Muridae. The record is from RNAcentral.
UGAGCUGAUCAGCCCUGAGUGGGGUAAUAGG